This 480-nucleotide ribosomal RNA is filed under the name uncultured Pseudonocardia sp. RNAcentral's name for it is "partial 16S ribosomal RNA". Lineage: Bacteria; Bacillati; Actinomycetota; Actinomycetes; Pseudonocardiales; Pseudonocardiaceae. The record is from RNAcentral.
CACGUAGUUGGCCGGUGCUUCUUAUCCAGGUACCGUCACGUUAGCUUCGUCCCUGGCGAAAGAGGUUUACAACCCGAAGGCCGUCAUCCCCCACGCGGCGUCGCUGCGUCAGGCUUUCGCCCAUUGCGCAAUAUUCCCCACUGCUGCCUCCCGUAGGAGUCUGGGCCGUGUCUCAGUCCCAGUGUGGCCGGUCGCCCUCUCAGGCUGGCUACCCGUCGUCGCCUUGGUAGGCCAUCACCCCACCAACAAGCUGAUAGGCCGCGGGCCCAUCCCUCACCGAAAAAACUUUCCACCAACAACCAUGCGGCCGAAGGUCAUAUCCGGUAUUAGACCCAGUUUCCCAGGCUUAUCCCAGAGUGAGGGGCAGGUCACCCACGUGUUACUCACCCGUUCGCCGCUCAUCCACCCGAAGGCUUCAGCGCUCGACUUGCAUGUGUUAAGCACGCCGCCAGCGUUCGUCCUGAGCCAGGAUCAAACUCU